This 72-nucleotide transfer RNA is filed under the name Candidatus Rehaiarchaeum fermentans. RNAcentral's name for it is "tRNA-Val". It matches the Rfam family "tRNA". From Rfam's summary of the family: Transfer RNA (tRNA) molecules are approximately 80 nucleotides in length. Their secondary structure includes four short double-helical elements and three loops (D, anti-codon, and T loops). The record is from RNAcentral. Lineage: Archaea; Nanobdellati; Candidatus Parvarchaeota.
GAGCCCGUGGUCUAACGGCAUGACGUUCGCUUGACGUGCGAAAGGUUGAGGGUUCAAAUCCCUCCGGGCUCA